AUUUGACGUUAGCGACAGAAGAAGCACCGGCUAACUCCGUGCCAGCAGCCGCGGUAAUACGGAGGGUGCGAGCGUUAAUCGGAAUUACUGGGCGUAAAGCGCAUGCAGGUGGUUUGUUAAGUCAGAUGUGAAAGCCCGGGGCUCAACCUCGGAAUUGCAUUUGAAACUGGCAGACUAGAGUACUGUAGAGGGGGGUAGAAUUUCAGGUGUAGCGGUGAAAUGCGUAGAGAUCUGAAGGAAUACCGGUGGCGAAGGCGGCCCCCUGGACAGAUACUGACACUCAGAUGCGAAAGCGUGGGGAGCAAACAGGAUUAGAUACCCUGGUAGUCCACGCCGUAAACGAUGUCUACUUGGAGGUUGUGGCCUUGAGCCGUGGCUUUCGGAGCUAACGCGUUAAGUAGACCGCCUGGGGAGUACGGUCGCAAGAUUAAAACUCAAAUGAAUUGACGGGGGCCCGCACAAGCGGUGGAGCAUGUGGUUUAAUUCGAUGCAACGCGAAGAACCUUACCUACUCUUGACAUCCAGAGAACUUUCCAGAGAUGGAUUGGUGCCUUCGGGAACUCUGAGACAGGUGCUGCAUGGCUGUCGUCAGCUCGUGUUGUGAAAUGUUGGGUUAAGUCCCGCAACGAGCGCAACCCUUAUCCUUGUUUGCCAGCGAGUAAUGUCGGGAACUCCAGGGAGACUGCCGGUGAUAAACCGGAGGAAGGUGGGGACGACGUCAAGUCAUCAUGGCCCUUACGAGUAGGGCUACACACGUGCUACAAUGGCGCAUACAGAGGGCGGCCAACUUGCGAAAGUGAGCGAAUCCCAAAAAGUGCGUCGUAGUCCGGAUUGGAGUCUGCAACUCGACUCCAUGAAGUCGGAAUCGCUAGUAAUCGUGGAUCAGAAUGCCACGGUGAAUACGUUCCCGGGCCUUGUACACACCGCCCGUCACACCAUGGGAGUGGGCUGCAAAAGAAGUAGGUAGUUUAACCUUCGGGGGGACGCUUACCACUUUGUGGUUCAUGACUGGGGUGAAGUCGUAACAAGGUAGCGCUAGGGGAACCUGGCGCUGGAUCACC
RNAcentral lists this ribosomal RNA (1061 nucleotides) under Vibrio parahaemolyticus VPTS-2009. RNAcentral's name for it is "bacterial SSU rRNA". It matches the Rfam family "Bacterial small subunit ribosomal RNA", at positions 467 to 1527 of the family's 1533-position model. The record is from RNAcentral. Lineage: Bacteria; Pseudomonadati; Pseudomonadota; Gammaproteobacteria; Vibrionales; Vibrionaceae.